UGGGGAAUUUUGGACAAUGGGGGAAACCCUGAUCCAGCCAUCCCGCGUGUGCGAUGAAGGCCUUCGGGUUGUAAAGCACUUUUGGCAGGAAAGAAACGUCAUGGGUUAAUACCCCGUGAAACUGACGGUACCUGCAGAAUAAGCACCGGCUAACUACGUGCCAGCAGCCGCGGUAAUACGUAGGGUGCAAGCGUUAAUCGGAAUUACUGGGCGUAAAGCGUGCGCAGGCGGUUCGGAAAGAAAGAUGUGAAAUCCCAGAGCUUAACUUUGGAACUGCAUUUUUAACUACCGGGCUAGAGUGUGUCAGAGGGAGGUGGAAUUCCGCGUGUAGCAGUGAAAUGCGUAGAUAUGCGGAGGAACACCGAUGGCGAAGGCAGCCUCCUGGGAUAACACUGACGCU
Molecule: ribosomal RNA, 400 nt
Filed under: uncultured bacterium
Lineage: Bacteria
Description: bacterial SSU rRNA
Rfam family: Bacterial small subunit ribosomal RNA
Source: RNAcentral